Molecule: ribosomal RNA, 545 nt
Filed under: Lactobacillus kimbladii
Lineage: Bacteria; Bacillati; Bacillota; Bacilli; Lactobacillales; Lactobacillaceae
Description: bacterial SSU rRNA
Rfam family: Bacterial small subunit ribosomal RNA
Source: RNAcentral
GGGGGGCACAGUAGGGAAUCUUCCACAAUGGACGCAAGUCUGAUGGAGCAACGCCGCGUGAGUGAAGAAGGUUUUCGGAUCGUAAAGCUCUGUUGUUGGUGAAGAAGGAUAGGGAUAGUAACUGAUUCUUAUUUGACGGUAAUCAACCAGAAAGUCACGGCUAACUACGUGCCAGCAGCCGCGGUAAUACGUAGGUGGCAAGCGUUGUCCGGAUUUAUUGGGCGUAAAGCGAACGCAGGCGGGAGAACAAGUCAGCUGUGAAAGCCCUCGGCUUAACCGGGGAAGUGCAGCUGAAACUGUUUUUCUUGAGUGCAGAAGAGGAGAGUGGAACUCCAUGUGUAGCGGUGGAAUGCGUAGAUAUAUGGAAGAACACCAGUGGCGAAGGCGGCUCUCUGGUCUGUAACUGACGCUGAGGUUCGAAAGCAUGGGUAGCGAACAGGAUUAGAUACCCUGGUAGUCCAUGCCGUAAACGAUGAGUGCUAAGUGUUGGGAGGUUUCCGCCUCUCAGUGCUGCAGCUAACGCAUUAAGCACUCCGCCGGGGAGU